This 784-nucleotide ribosomal RNA is filed under the name uncultured organism. Its description in RNAcentral is "bacterial SSU rRNA". It matches the Rfam family "Bacterial small subunit ribosomal RNA", at positions 28 to 807 of the family's 1533-position model. The record is from RNAcentral.
GAUGAACGCUAGCGGCAGGCUUAACACAUGCAAGUCGAGGGGUAACAGGUCACUUCGGUGAUGCUGACGACCGGCGCACGGGUGAGUAACGCGUAUGGAACCUACCUGAAACAGGGGGAUAGCUUCCGGAAACGGGGAUUAAUACCCCAUACGAUUCAUUUGUGGCCUCACAAAUGGAUAAAAGCUACGGCGGUUUCAGAUGGUCAUGCGUACCAUUAGUUAGUUGGUGAGGUAAAGGCUCACCAAGGCGAUGAUGGUUAGGGGUCCUGAGAGGGUAGUCCCCCACACUGGUACUGAGACACGGACCAGACUCCCACGGGAGGCAGCAGUGAGGAAUAUUGGUCAAUGGGCGCUAGCCUGAACCAGCCAUGCCGCGUGCAGGAAGACGGCCCUACGGGUUGUAAACUGCUCUUCUGCAGGAAGAAUAUAUAGUCUUAGGGCUAUAUUGACGGUACUGCAGGAAUAAGCAUCGGCUAACUCCGUGCCAGCAGCCGCGGUAAUACGGAGGAUGCAAGCGUUAUCCGGAUUCAUUGGGUUUAAAGGGUGCGCAGGCUGUAAAGCAAGUCAGUGGUGAAAGCCCUGGGCUUAACUCAGGGAUUGCCAUUGAAACUGUUUUACUAGAGUGUAGUAGAGGACGGCGGAAUGAGUUGUGUAGCGGUGAAAUGCAUAGAUAUAACUCAGAACACCUAUUGCGUAGGCAGCUGUCUAUACUACAACUGACGCUGAGGCACGAAAGCGUGGGGAGCGAACAGGAUUAGAUACCCUGGUAGUCCACGCUGUAAAC